Molecule: ribosomal RNA, 497 nt
Filed under: uncultured bacterium
Lineage: Bacteria
Description: partial 16S ribosomal RNA
Rfam family: Bacterial small subunit ribosomal RNA
Source: RNAcentral
GAUGAACGCUGGCGGCGUGCCUAAUACAUGCCAGUCGAGCGAACGGACGAGAAGCUUGCUUCUCUGAUGUUGGCGGCGGACGGGUGAGUAACACGUGGAUAACCUACCUAUAAGACUGGGAUAACUUCGGGAAACCGGAGCUAAUACCGGAUGAUAUUUUGAACCGCAUGGUUCAAAAGUGAAAGACGGUCUUGCUGUCACUUAUAGAUGGAUCCGCGCUGCAUUAGCUAGUUGGUAAGGUAACGGCUUACCAAGGCAACGAUGCAUAGCCGACCUGAGAGAGUGAUCGGCCACACUGGAACUGAGACACGGUCCAGACUCCUACGGGAGGCAGCAGUAGGGAAUCUUCCGCAAUGGGCGAAAGCCUGACGGAGCAACGCCGCGUGAGUGAUGAAGGUCUUCGGAUCGUAAAACUCUGUUAUUAGGGAAGAACAUAUGUGUAAGUAACUGUGCACAUCUUGACGGUACCUAAUCAGAAAGCCACGGCUAACUACGUG